This 253-nucleotide ribosomal RNA is filed under the name uncultured bacterium. RNAcentral's name for it is "partial 16S ribosomal RNA". It matches the Rfam family "Bacterial small subunit ribosomal RNA", at positions 524 to 776 of the family's 1533-position model. The record is from RNAcentral.
GACGGAGGGGGCUAGCGUUGUUCGGAAUUACUGGGCGUAAAGAGCGCGCAGGCGGUCGAUCAAGUCGCGUGUGAAAGCCCCCGGCUCAACUGGGGAGGGUCACGCGAUACUGAUCGACUCGAAGGCAGGAGAGGGUAGUGGAAUUCCCGGUGUAGUGGUGAAAUGCGUAGAUAUCGGGAGGAACACCAGUGGCGAAGGCGACUACCUGGCCUGUUCUUGACGCUGAGGCGCGAAAGCUAGGGGAGCAAACGGG